Molecule: long non-coding RNA, 4639 nt
Filed under: Sarcophilus harrisii (Tasmanian devil)
Lineage: Eukaryota; Metazoa; Chordata; Mammalia; Dasyuromorphia; Dasyuridae
Description: lncRNA (ENSSHAG00000030600.1)
Source: RNAcentral
AUGAAGGCUUGGACUAGAAUGGAAAUAGAAAGGCAGGGAUUUGGAGAAGAAGGUCUCCUGGCCAACUCGGACUUUGAUCAUAAACCACUCCAUUGCUCCUCCCAGAACAAAGAAGAAAGGAAGAAACCUAUAGACACCAAAGCGCUGUUUUCCAGGUAUCCUCCGCAGAAGUUGCUUCACUUGUUUCCUUGUGAACAUCUCCAAGGUGACAGCCAGCAGACUUCAUGGGAAAUAAACUGAAACUACAGAUGGAAAGCAAGAUAUUGUGCAGCUCCUACAACAACCUCAGUUUCUUUUUUUUUUUUUUUUUUCAGCUUUUAAUUUACAAGAAAGCUCACUGAUGCUGCCUUAUGGCUUUUAAAUGGUAACUCCCUAGCGCUCUAGAGCUUUCAUGUUUACAAAACACAAGUCCCAGAAGGUUCCCAGGGGUUGCCCGUCUCACAGCUCCUCAAUUUCAAAGACAAAGGUCAAAGACAGGCCAUUUCUCCUGACUAUAAGUCUAUCCAUCCUAUUGCUCUUUCUACACCCAAAAGCCAAUCUCUAAAACGAAAAGAUCUACUUUGGAUUGUUUUUGUUUUUUUUUUUUUUAAAUCAGCUACUAAACAUAUCUAUUUUCACUUAAGAAAUAGCAGGGUAUUAUAAAAAAGAGUGUUACUGUUUUCUGAGACACUUCUGUCACAUUUGGCAUCAUAUUUUACAAAGGAUAUAGGAUUAUAUGGAGCCAAAAGACAAUACUAAAACUGUAAUUAACUUUUCAACUAAGUAACAAUAUGACCAUGGCAAAGUUACAAUCUCUUGGGGCUACAAAGUCUCUUCAAUUACAAUUUGCAUUCCAUGAUUUAUAGCAACAUAUCAUUGAAGACAAUGGAUGUAACAAUACUAGAGGUUAAAACAGAAGAAAUAAGCAAAUUGAAAGCAAAAGCCAAUGAAUGAAAAAUAAAAUCAGAAGAUUGUUGAGAGAGAUGUAAACCCAGAAAUGUGGGUAGGCUAUUCACAUGCAGGAGCAAAGGAUAACUAAUACUCCAGUGGUGUCCAUGAAAUGGCAAAAGAUUUGAAGGGCAGCUCUCAAUAUGUUGAGAUUUAGGAAAGAAUAAGGACAAAGGAAGUCAGAGAAUGAUGGCAGAGGUUGUGAUGUACCCCUUAAAGGGAGAAUCCAUAAUGAUGAGAUUCCAGGUUGGGAAAAAAAAAUCUAAGCAUAUUAACUAUUAAUUAACUAACCAUUAAUAACAUGUAAAUCAACAAUAACCAUUGCCUUCUAGGUCACCUAUAUUGAUUAUUUUUCAGUUGAACAUUCCAUGAUUUACAGCAACGUUCAUUAAAAAAGAGAAUGUGUUUUUAAAAAAUAGAUUUUAUUGCAGAAAUAACUAAAUUGAAAACAAAAACCAUGAAAUUGAAAAAUGAAACUAGUUUUUUUUGAAGAAAAAACACAACAAACUGUUAGCUAAUUUGAUAGCAGUAAAAAGAGAAUUAAAUUGCCAAAUCAAAAAGGGAAAAGGAAAAUGUAUGAUAAAUUAGGAGAAAUUAUAUAAAGCUCAAUCAUAUGGCAGCAAAACUAUUAGUUAAUAAAAUAUCUACAAAAAUAUAAAACAUACAGAUUAACAAGAUACAGAAUUGACAGAAACCAAAGCCAAAAAAAGACACUGAACAAGCCAUUUAAAAAACAAAAAACUAGAACUAGUUGGAUUUACAAGUGAAUUAUAUUAAACAUUAAAAGAACAAUUAUUAAUUUGAGUAAUAAAUUAGCUGUUUUGCAAAAUAGAGAAAACAUCCUACCAUGCUCCUUCUAUAAGACAAAUAUGAUCCUGAUGCCUAAUCAGGGAGAGAGAAAGCCUAGAAAGAAGAAUACAGACCAAUAUCUCUAAUGAAUAACUACACUAAAAUAUAGGCAAGAAGUUACAACAGAUUAAAAAGAUCAUACAUUAUAACUGGAAUGGAUUCAUACUACAAAUUCAGGGUUGAUGAUAAACAUAAUCAACCAUAUGAAAAAUGGAAAACAGUAAAAAUUCCAUUUAUAUUAUAAAACAUUAAGAAAAGGAAUAAAUAAAUCUCUCCUUAAUAUGGUAAACUGUAUCUGAAACUGAGAACAAUAAUUAUGUAUAAUGGAGAACCACAAAUGGCCUCUCAAAUUACAAUAUCAGUUGCUACCAUUAUUAUUUGAUAUAGUUCUAAAAAUGCUUACUAAAGAAAAAAAAUUAAACAUGACCAAAACCCCCAAAUUAUUAUUUUUGUAGAUACUAUGAUGGCUUACUCAGGGCACCCAAGAGAUUCACCUAAAAAACAACUGAAAUAAAAACUUCAGUAAAAUGGAAGUUUGCAGAAUAAACACAUAAAUAUCAAUUUUUUUUGCAGAAUAACAAGAAAAUCCAACAGGAAGAGAUAGAAAAAUAAAAAUCCAUUCUAAAUAAUGGGAAGGUAUAAAAUAUAAGUCUAUCUAGCCAAAAAAUAUGGUGAACAUGUUCUGAACACCUGAACAUCUACACAUAGAUCUACAAAAUAGAAAUAGAGUUAAAUAAUGUUGGACUGUGCCAAUAUAAUAAAAAUGACAACAGUACCCAAAUUCAGUGCCAUACCAAAUGAAUUGUCAAAGAGUUAGUUUGUAUAGAGGUACAAAAAAAGAGUAACAAAAUUCAUCUGGAGGAAGAAGUCUUAGUCAAGGAUCUCAAAAGAAAGCACUAAAAAAGAGAAGUGAAAAUUAAAAUAUCUCUGUGGUUCCUUCAAACACAUAUUAAACACAAACACAUAUCAAACACAAACAUAUCAUAUCAAAUACAUCAAACAAAAAAGAAAAAAUAGCCAUUGGAGGACUUUCAGAGGACAGGCUUAUUAAUGUACUAUUAGAGGAACUAUAAAUUGAUUCAACCAUUCUGGAAAGCAAUUUGGAAUUAUAGCUCAAAAAUCAUGAUCUUGCAUACCCUUUAACCCAAAGAUACCACUAAUAGAUGGGCAGCAAGGUGGCACAGUGGAUAGACCAUUAGGUCUACAGUGAAUGAGAAUUGAGUUCAAAUCUAGCAUCAGAUACUUACUAUUUAUUACUAGAUAACAAUGUUUGUUCUUCAUUUCUUAUAAAAAUGAACUGAAGAAAAGGGCAAAACACUCCAGUAUCUUUGCCAAGAAAAAGGGAUCCCAUAACUCAACAACUACCUCUGGAUAUGUACCCUAAAAAGUUCAAAGAAAAAGAAAAUAGCAUAUAUAUAUAUAUAUAUAUUUGUGGUAAAAGAUCAUAGAAAAUAGUGGGUAUACAUCAACAGGGCAAUGUUAUCUGAAUGUUAACAGAAUAUUAUUGUGCCAUUAGAAAACAUGAAAGGGAUAGAUUGAGACACUCUGGAGAUACUUGUAUGAAUUGAUACAAAGUGAUCAGAAAAGAAAAACAAUUUUGAAAGACUUAAAAAUUCUGAUCUAAUAACCAAUCACAACUCUAGAAAACAUGUGACAAAUGAUUCCUAUCUCUUAGCAAAGAGACAGUCAAUAGGAAAGAAUGACAUAUAUUUUCAGACACAACUGAUGUGUGAAUUUGUUUUGCUUAACUAGUUUGAAAUUAUGAAGAGUGAGAAUUAGAGAUAGGGGGGUAAUCAGGCAGGAAAGAAAUGACAGAUUAAAAAAAGAACAUCAAUGAAAUAUUUUUAAAAUACACAUACGAAAACAGAAGUUCGGAAGUGAGCACAGAUAAACAGGAUAAUAUAGGUACUACCUUGUUAAAUUUCAUGUGUGUUUUUUGGAAAGAAAAAAUCUACACCUAAUAUUCAGAUUUACAUAGUUCUCUUUUUCUACACUUCAUAUAAAAAUGGUUAUUUGUAUUGAUGUUUUUCAAGUUCCAUUUUUAAAGAAAUUUUUAUUUUGGGAAGAAGCUUGGGAUUACUGAGAAAGUGUAGUAUGCUUUUCCUGCAGCAAUCCAAAGACUUUCCCUAUUUAGGAAGGCAGCUUGGUAUUGAGCUCAGUAUCAAGAAGAUCCCAGUUUAAAUUCUAUUUCAAAUAUAUACUGGCUCUUUGACCCUGGACAAAUCACUUACUCUCUCAGCUUCAGCUCUCAUCUGUAAAAAGGAGCAAACAGCAUCUAACUCACAGUUAUGUCACUUAACCCCGUUUGCCUUAGUUCAUGUGUAAAAUGAAUUGGAGAAUGAAAUGGCAAACCACUCCAGAAUUAUUUGCCAAGAAAACCCAAAAUGGGAUCAUGAAGACUCAGAGGGCAUAGGGCUGGAUCAAAUGAAAUAAGCACUUUUCAAACCCUCAGAUAAAUAUUAGUUUAAUACUGUAUCACUUACUAUUGUUCAGCUCAAUGUAUCCACAUAUAUGUAUAUAUUACUAAACAACAUACAAUUUGGUUCUGAUUAUUGGCAAUAAAUAAUUCCUAGGAAGCGCUCUCAUUACUCUCAUUAGAAUUGCAUAUUUACAUUAGACUGGAGCCAAUUACUAUCUGCCCAUUCUAGGGGGAUCAUCAAUCGCCCUAGCACUAGUACCAGGUCCUAAAAAAUUACUUUAAAAUUUACUAAUUUUUUAGUUUAAAAAAUUGCUUUUGCUGGAACGUGAAUGAGGACGAAAACGGUCUGGCCAAGGUUGAGAGGGAAGGCAGAAGAGAAGAGCUGCACAGGAUGGAUGGUUAUUUCAGUGACCUCACAAAUCCACUAGAACACUGAAGGUCCUU